Long non-coding RNA from Mesocricetus auratus (golden hamster), 1278 nucleotides. RefSeq lists it as uncharacterized. NCBI's taxonomy places the organism in Eukaryota, Metazoa, Chordata, Mammalia, Rodentia, Cricetidae. The record is from RefSeq and is a predicted model, not a curated record. The transcript is spliced from 2 exons.
GGACAUUGUUGUUUGUAACACAGACACAUUGUUCCCCAGGGAACAAGGCCAUGCUGUCAGGAGCUCACAGAAGAGCAGGCAGAGGAGAAGGGAAGGCCCGUGGGAACUUGAGGUGAACCUCAGGAAGAGAAAGGAGCAACAACUGGAGGAGAAAGAAGAAAUAUGACCCUUUCCUUGUAUGCUUCCAGCCCCGGGUCCCCUCAAGGACUGCUCUGAAUUGAAACUAGCCACAUCAGUUUUCACUGAACAUGUGCUCUGAGCCAGAAGCCACGGUGGGUAGUAACAGGUUCACCAUGGCAUCCAGGUACCAUGGAAGAGUUCAUUUACCCAUCACAGGCAAAGUCCUGAUACACAGUGGUCUGGUGGCAACCUCAGGAGCCACCAGCAUUCAAAGUGCUAAACUCCGGAGCCUGGAAGCCCUCCCUGCUCUGCUGGGGCUGUGAGUGGCAGAAGGAAAAUUCCCAGCCCAAGAAGACUGCCUGCAGUUGCCAAAAUGAACCACUGCCUGUACACAAGAGCGAUACUCUUCGGGUUGGAACGGUUCAGGUUGGCUUACCAGAAAGAGCCAGGAAAAAUCCCAAAGAUCAACUUCAGAUUUCCAUGCACCCUUGUGUCUGUCUUGAAAGCUUUGGUGCCCACCUAGAGCCCAGAGGUAAUGGCAUCAAGGCUCAUUUCUGCAGCAGAGACAUGCAGCUCACAAGUCCUCAGAGAGAACAUACUCACCUAACAAAGCCUAGGCACAAUUCUGGAGGCCUAAGAGGCCCUAAAGAUAUGGCUGGCCAACUCCACCAAACACAACCUCAUCUUUUCCAAAUCAGAACAUUUUGAACUCUGCAUAAGUAUCAUCAUGGACCCUUGCCUUGGGCCUUCUGUCUAUGUUUCCUGUUCACGGUGGCUGCUGCAGAGGAUGGCUCCCGCUUUGAACUGGUCUGUGACAGUGACUAGGAAGAUACCCUUCUUGGCUUAACACAAUUGCCCUCCUGUAACUGGAAGCCCUAGGCUGUCUGCCUUACUACUGCUAUCUUUGGUAAUUCUAAAGAACAAGUCUGGGGCCUAGAGAGAUGGCUCAGCAGUUAAGAGCACUGGGUGUUCUUCCAGAAGACUAGGGUUCAAUCCCCAGUAGGCACAUGGAUAUUGACAACAAUCUGUAACUAUAGUUUCAGUCUUUUGGCUUCCAUGGGCACUGUGCACACAUGGUGUACAGACUUAGAUGAAGGCAAAACACUCAUAUACAUAAAAAUAGUAAUGAACUAAGCAAUAAAUCAAAUGCAAGUCUGA